Molecule: ribosomal RNA, 253 nt
Filed under: uncultured bacterium
Lineage: Bacteria
Description: partial 16S ribosomal RNA
Rfam family: Bacterial small subunit ribosomal RNA
Source: RNAcentral
UACGUAGGGGGCAAGCGUUGUCCGGAUUUAUUGGGCGUAAAGAGCGUGUAGGCGGCCAGAUAGGUCCGUUGUGAAAACUCGAGGCUCAACCUCGAGACGCCGAUGGAAACCAUCUGGCUAGAGUCCGGAAGAGGAGAGUGGAAUUCCUGGUGUAGCGGUGAAAUGCGCAGAUAUCAGGAAGAACACCCGUGGCUAAGGCGGCUCUCUAGUACGGUACUGACGCUGAGACGCGAGAGCGUGGGGAGCGAACAGG